This is a long non-coding RNA of Pseudoliparis swirei, 452 nucleotides long. RefSeq lists it as uncharacterized. NCBI's taxonomy places the organism in Eukaryota, Metazoa, Chordata, Actinopteri, Perciformes, Liparidae. The transcript has 3 exons. The record is from RefSeq and is a predicted model, not a curated record.
GUCCCGUCUCCGUGUCGUCAGUCCAUAACGUCCGAGACGUUCCAUCAUUGCGCCACCAAGGUCUACCGAAACCAGCGGACAAAAAAUUCAACCCGCUGCAACACUUCAAAAGUAGCCCAAUUCCGCGGGAAAACCGCGGACCUGGCAACACUGGAGAGGCCUCACAGACGGCCACAACGCUCCCCGACGCCUCGGAGGGAGCCAACGAGGGACCAGCGCAGACCCGGGUGACGAGAGGACUUCAGCGGCCACCAGGACCAGAGAGUCCAGCCACGGGAACAGCCCACGGAGCCCUUUUAAACGGGGAGUGCGGAGUUUCCCAGGCGCCCUGAACUCACCACCGACAGAACGGAGAUUUGCAGCAGGUUUCCAUUGGGUUGUGUCUGGAGCCGGUCCAGUCUCCUUGCCCCUGCCUCCUGCCUCCUGCCUCCUUGCCCCUGCCUCCUAUCUCC